GCGCUCUGGUCUGGAGCUCUGAGCAGCCUGGUCCCGUGGAAGGGUAUCCCUGCGCCUGGCAGGGCGUUGGAACUGGGUGAUUUUUAAGGUCCCUUCCGACCCAAGCCCUUCUGUCAUUCUGUGGGCCUGUUGAACGACGUCGCUGCGGUUAAUUCGCCUUUCCGGGCUCGGCCUGGCUGUGCCGGGCUGCGGGGAAGGGCUCCUGGGGCUGGGGCAGGGCUCCUGGGGCUGCCUCCCGCACCGGAGGGGACAGCUUUGUCACCAGCCUUCCCGCCUUUUAACGUGAUUUGAGCUGUCUUUUAUGGCGUCAUUUUUCUCAUGCAGGACCCUCCCUUCUUUGAGAUAAUCGUAAAAUCUGCAGACAUCCCUAGGGCUGGAAUCUGAAUGUCGUUGCUCCCCAGACUUUGGAUAAUACACUAGAAAUCAUGAAGCGGAUUUUAACUCUUGUUUAUUGUCUUUUCACAGAUUCACAGACUAUUCUGAGUUAGAAGGGAUCCACAAGGAUCCUCGAGUCCAGCUCUUAAGUAAAUGUCCCAUAGGGGAUUGCAUCCACCACCUUGGUGUUACCAGCUCCAUGUUCUGACCAACUGCAACUCCUGAAAUGUAACAAAUUUAACUACAAAUAUUGAUGUGUUCUUUCAAUGAACCCACACAUCACCAUGAGGGCAUCACAAUGUCCCAGCUGUAUGCUGCUCUGCUUGAGGAUUUUGAAGGCCAGAUUGCCUGGUCUGGUGGAAAUAUUUCUGGUGGAGAUACAUAGGUGCAAGCUCUGCCAUUUCACAAGCAGGAUCAAAAGUAAGAUCAGGAGACACCUGGUUCAAAUCCGUGAAGUUGAUAUGGCAUGUCGAAUUUCAGGCUGUCCUAAAAUGGACCAAGGUAAAAGUGAGCUUUGGAGAUGAAAAGAAUGAAAACAAAGACAAUCUUGAAAAAAAUUACUCUCUUGUUGCAUGUGUGUCAGGUGCCUUAAAAUAAGAGUCCUUGCUGCUGUGGCAUGAGCUCAAGCAUAGUCCUCAUGCAUCACUCCUGAGAAAUGACCACCUUGUUUGGAGAAGUAGCAGCUUAUUUUCAACUUGAAGAACCCUGCAGUGCUGACUUCUCUUCCAUAUUCCAAGAGAAAGGACAGAUAAACCCAGUGUAUGCCUCUUAGCAUCUGUCACGUUUCCAGUGUUAGAAUCCAGAUAUUUGCUGGGGAAAUUAAAAGUCCCUAAGGCUCAAUCAAGGUGUAAACAUCAUAGGAAAAUCAAUUGAAAGCUGGAUCUAAAUGCUCACCUCACCCUAUGGAGGGUGCUUGUGCCUUAAAGCUGGGUUCUGAGAGAAGCAGCAUUUCUGAAUGUGUGGAAUGUAGCACUAGAGCUGAAAGAUGCUGAGAAAAUUCAUUUAAAGGGCCGUGAUGUGGAUCGUGGCUUUAAAUGUGUUUAUUGUCACAUGACUGAGUAGAUCUUAAUGGAAAACCAUUGAAGAUCACACAUGUGAAUAAAAGAAACCUUUCAGUGCUUCAUCUGUGAAAGUGCUUUUAUAUCACUUUAUAAAGUGCCUGGAAAGUGCCCAGAAACAGCCAUCAGAGGAAACCUCAUCUCAGUGCACAUCAUCUGGAACUGAGCAGAUAAGCAAUCUUCAUGUAGCUUGCUUGGCAUUAUGAGGAUGUGGUUAUGUGCCCACACAGUGAUUUUACCAAGCCUUCAUAGUUACUGGCUUCAUCUCCAUCACAACAUCCUUACAUGUGUUGGUGGUGUCUUGACUGAACCAGGCUGGUGCACACUGGAUUGGAGAGUCAGGUAAGUGUUUAUUUAUGCUUGAAUACAGCAAAUGAGAAAAGCAGUAAGAUUCUUAAAUAUUUUUUAUCUGUACAUGAUCACAAAACUGGCAAUUUAUCCUCCCUUUUCUCUUAGUCACUAGAGACUCCGGAAUGCAGCAGAAUUUGUAAUCUGAUGCUUGCUGUGUCAUCACAUUAAAAGGAGUGGGCAAUUUAAUAAAUAAGGCUUGGUGAGACUGGGUGAGGAAAAAGUCUUUAAAUUUUUCUUCCUGUAAACAGCAGUCUGCUGAAAUGUCUCACAUGAUCAGGUUCUGCUUUUUACAAAUUAUCUUCAGAGCUGGUACUACAGUUUUGAGAUUGAUUUAUUUAUAUAACAAUUAACAUCAGCUUUUAUAUCUUGUUUGUAAACUUUUGGGAGGGUGGUGAAAGGACAAUUUUUGGUAUUUUAGUAGUUUGUUGCCAGUACAAAAGCAGUAAUAUACAAACUUGUCAGCGCCAAAAAAAUUGAGUCAAAUUAAAUUAUUCUAUGCCAAAUGAUACUUCCAUGGUUGAAAGUAUUUAAUUUACUCUGAAACAAACAUCAGGUAUCAUCUCAAUCAGGCUUUUUUCACCCUAAUUUUGCAAAGUAUGGUAUAUAUUUCAA
Onychostruthus taczanowskii (white-rumped snowfinch) is the source of this 2396-nucleotide long non-coding RNA. RefSeq lists it as uncharacterized. NCBI's taxonomy places the organism in Eukaryota, Metazoa, Chordata, Aves, Passeriformes, Passeridae. The transcript has 3 exons. The record is from RefSeq and is a predicted model, not a curated record.